RNAcentral lists this ribosomal RNA (216 nucleotides) under Glomeromycotina sp. Its description in RNAcentral is "partial small subunit ribosomal RNA". The stretch from base 75 to 216 matches the Rfam family "Eukaryotic small subunit ribosomal RNA", at positions 721 to 864 of the family's 1831-position model. The record is from RNAcentral. Lineage: Eukaryota; Fungi; Glomeromycota.
GGGUCAGUAGGUUGGUCGUGCCACCGGUACGUACUGGUCUCACUGAUUCCUCCUUCCCGAAGAACCGUAAUGCCAUUAAUUUGGUGUUGCGGGGAAACAGGACUGUUACUUUGAAAAAAUUAGAGUGUUUAAAGCAAGCUGACGCUUGAAUACAUUAGCAUGGAAUAAUGAAAUAGGACGAUCGAUCCUAUUUUGUUGGUUUCUAGGAUUGACGUA